Molecule: long non-coding RNA, 1661 nt
Filed under: Sinocyclocheilus grahami
Lineage: Eukaryota; Metazoa; Chordata; Actinopteri; Cypriniformes; Cyprinidae
Description: lncRNA (ENSSGRG00000008945.1)
Source: RNAcentral
CCCUCAUUUACCGUGUGUGUAUUUAUAGUCCUAAUUCUGUUCUAUCCUUUGUCGGUUAUUAGCUUGUGUUAUGUGUUGAACCAAGUCAGAAUUCUCAGUAAAGUCUGUUUGGAAUUAUGCGUCUUCGUUUGCUGUCCUCAUUCCUUGACGACCCGUGACAGAAUAACCGACCGCAUCAAAAUAAACCAAGCAUGGACUCACCCGCGUUACGUCUCCUCCUCAGACCAGAAAGCCAAAGGUGGCUGGAUUAUUUGGGCUGGAUGCUCCAGAACAGUGGCCUCUCCCUCACAGAGACACCAACAGGGCUCGUCCAGGAACCAAAGCCGGAGUCCACCAAAGCCGAGGAGACUGAGCACGCUGAUCAGUUCACUGUAAAGCCAGGAGCGAACAUGAACCUCAUAGAUCUGUGGUCCGCGGAUCCAGUUCCCACCCAAGUACCCACCCUCAAACCUUUGUCUUUGCCGGUCCCGUACGGAUUGUUAGAGGCUCCAGUCCCGUCUGGAGAUCUUCCUCCUCCGAUGUCUCUAUCAGAUUUCCUGGUCCCAUCUCCUCCUCUGGUUUCAGUCAGUCCCCUGGAUUCGUCGGCCCCACUGGUGUCGUCCAGCUCCUCGGCUCUGCCUCCGCCGCUAGCUCUGUGCGGCUCAUCAGCCUCGCCUCAGUGUUCCUCUCCACCAGCUCGGUAUGGCUCCGAGUCCCCGGCUUCACUUCGGCCCUCCAGGCCCAUGUCUCCACCUCGGCCUGUCAGCCCGCCGACUCCGCUCUGGCUCUGUAUUCCUUCGGCUCCACCGAGGCUUGUCUGCCCUAGGACUCCUCUGGGCUCCCUCGUACAUCCGGACAAACCUCGGUCGGUCGUCGCUCAGCUUCCGCCACGGACUUCCGGGUCUCCGGCUGCGCCUCGACCCUCCACCCCUUCGGCUUCACCGGGCUCCUCCCUUCCUCUGGUUUCCCUGUCAUCCUCGCUCGCUCCAUCAUCGCCCUGGUCAGCCGAAUCCCCGGCUCUGCCUCAGUCACGUGAGCCAGCCGCUCCACCUUGGGCUUCCAGGCCUUCGAUGUCCUGGUCCAUCGGCCUCUCUGCUCCGGUUCCGCCACGUACCCUGGUUCCGCCUCAGUGGAUCGGCUUCUGGGUGUCGCCCAGUCCUUCAGCCAAAGCUCCUCCCUGGUUCUUCCCACCGUCGGCUCCACCAUGGUGUUGGUCUCCUCCGAAUUCUCCAGGUUCCAGUCCUUCACCAGCACCACACCCUCCGCCUAAGCCUCCACCCUCUUUCCUCUUUUCUGUCAUCUACUGUUGUGGCGUGAGGUCACGCCUUCCGAAAGGGGGAGCUAAUGUCACGAUUAUGUUUAGUUUCUGUAAUGAGCUCUCAUUAGUUACCAUGGUUUCUGAUUAGUUAAUCCUUGUCCAGCUGUUCCUGCUUAUUUCCCUCAUUUACCUUGUGUGUAUUUAUAGUCCUGAUUCUGUUCUAUCCUUCGUCGGUUAUUAGCUUGUGUUAUGUGUUGAACCAAGUCAGAAUUCUCAGUAAAGUCUGUUUGGAAUUAUGCGUCUUCGUUUGCUGUCCUCAUUCCUUGACGACCCGUGACAGGUGGAACCUCAUCUGUUUAAAACUUUAAAAUAUUUUUACAUUUAAAAAUCAAGCCAUGGCAACAUGUUUUUCCAUUACUUUAAC